AUUGAACGCUAACGGCGUGCUUAACGCAUGCAAGUCGAGCGGCAGCACAGUAGUAGCAAUACUAUGGGUGGCGAGCGGCGGACGGGUGAGUAAUGCAUAGGAAUCUGCCUUGUAGUGGGGGAUAACCCGGGGAAACUCGGGCUAAUACCGCAUAAUCUCUACGGAGCAAAGUGGUGGACCGUAAGGCCUCACGCUAAAAGAUGAGCCUAUGUUGGAUUAGCUAGUUGGUAGGGUAAAGGCCUACCAAGGCAACGAUCCAUAGCUGGUCUGAGAGGAUGAUCAGCCACACUGGGACUGAGACACGGUCCAGACUCCUACGGGAGGCAGCAGUGGGGAAUAUUGGACAAUGGGCGAAAGCCUGAUCCAGCAACGCCGUGUGUGUGAAGAAGGCCUUCGGGUUGUAAAGCACUUUUAGUUGGGAAGAAAAGCUCAAGACUAAUACCCUUGAGUGAUGACGUUACCAACAGAAAAAGCACUGGCUAACUCUGUGCCAGCAGCCGCGGUAA
This 506-nucleotide ribosomal RNA is filed under the name uncultured bacterium. RNAcentral describes it as "partial 16S ribosomal RNA". It matches the Rfam family "Bacterial small subunit ribosomal RNA", at positions 30 to 523 of the family's 1533-position model. The record is from RNAcentral.